This 122-nucleotide small nucleolar RNA is filed under the name Nannospalax galili (Upper Galilee mountains blind mole rat). Its description in RNAcentral is "Small nucleolar RNA SNORA24 (ENSNGAG00000009863.1)". It matches the Rfam family "Small nucleolar RNA SNORA24". From Rfam's summary of the family: ACA24 is a member of the H/ACA class of snoRNA that guide the sites of modification of uridines to pseudouridines. The record is from Rfam by way of RNAcentral. Lineage: Eukaryota; Metazoa; Chordata; Mammalia; Rodentia; Spalacidae.
UUUCUUGUAUUCCCUGGCCUGUGGUCAUCUCCCUUCCUAGACAUGAAAAAUCAUAUAAUUAUUUAUUGCCAAAGAUGUCAUCAUUUAAUUGUUAUCAGAUUUUGACUUUCAAUGCUACAGUC